Long non-coding RNA from Oncorhynchus tshawytscha (Chinook salmon), 360 nucleotides. RefSeq lists it as uncharacterized. The transcript has 3 exons. The record is from RefSeq and is a predicted model, not a curated record. Lineage: Eukaryota; Metazoa; Chordata; Actinopteri; Salmoniformes; Salmonidae.
CGUAACGUCUGCGGGGAUCCGUCCCUAGGUAACGGUAACUAUGUGUGACGUCUUUUCAUGGUGACAGAAAAUCAAAAGACAAGAUAUGGUCGACUAGUCGGCUAAAUAACGGUGCUUUUUAUAUUUUUAUUUUAACAAAAUGGAUUGGAGUUUGAAUACAAUAUAGCAGAAGUUGUAGAUUGGUGACGCUGCCGGACAGGAAGUGAUGGACUUCCGGUGGGGGAGGAGCCGGGGUGAGGAGGGCAUCGCCGUGGUGAUAAACUUCCUGCUGGCUAAUGCCCGAUUGGUCCUGGGAGUGGGAGGGGCCGCGGUGCUGGGCAUCGCUACGUUGGCUGUCAAGAGGUUGAUAGAACGUGCAGG